CAGCCGCCACGGUAAUACGUAGGGUGCAAGCGUUAAUCGGAAUUACUGGGCGUAAAGCGUGCGCAGGCGGUUUUGUAAGACAGAGGUGAAAUCCCCGGGCUCAACCUGGGAACUGCCUUUGUGACUGCAAGGCUAGAGUACGGCAGAGGGGGAUGGAAUUCCGCGUGUAGCAGUGAAAUGCGUAGAUAUGCGGAGGAACACCGAUGGCGAAGGCAAUCCCCUGGGCCUGUACUGACGCUCAUGCACGAAAGCGUGGGGAGCAAACAGGAUUAGAUACCCGCGUAGUCCCUGUCUCUUAUAC
This 301-nucleotide ribosomal RNA is filed under the name uncultured bacterium. Its description in RNAcentral is "partial 16S ribosomal RNA". It matches the Rfam family "Bacterial small subunit ribosomal RNA", at positions 509 to 807 of the family's 1533-position model. The record is from RNAcentral.